Molecule: long non-coding RNA, 345 nt
Filed under: Homo sapiens (human)
Lineage: Eukaryota; Metazoa; Chordata; Mammalia; Primates; Hominidae
Description: HSALNT0250699
Source: RNAcentral
CUGGUUUCUGAGAACCUAAAAACCCAGGAGAAAGAUAUAAGGAGGCAAGGACGCUCAUUCUUCCAUAACCUAUAGGAAACCCAGUUUCAUCAUAAAUAUAUGAAAUCUCGGUAGCAUCCUCCAAAUCCAUAAGGAAGGGGGUAGACUGCUCUGAUGAAGCACAUCCAGUCCAUCAGCAGCCUGAAUGCUUUUGUAUCAAUAAGUAUUCCACCAGAUACCAGCUGAGCCAGUUCCCUCAAUUGUGAGAGACAUACUCCAUCAGUUUCUUCUCUAGCAAGGAAGACAACCAAGACCAAGAAGUCACAGAGUCUGAAUGGGUUAUGAAUUUUCUUUGUGUUUGGCAUC